AGAGUUUGAUCCUGGCUCAGAACGAACGCUGGCGGCGUGCUUAACACAUGCAAGUCGAGCGGAGUUUAAAGGGAGCUUGCUUCAUUUAAACUUAGCGGCGGACGGGUGAGUAACGCAUAGGCAACCUGCCCUAUACACUGGGAUAACAGAGGGAAACUUUUGCUAAUACCGGAUAUGACCACACUAAGGCAUCUUAGAGGGGUGAAAGGGUUUACUGGUAUAGGAGGGGCUUAUGUCCUAUUAGCUAGUUGGUAGUGUAACGGACUACCAAGGCGACGAUAGGUAGCCGAUCUGAGAGGAUAAUCGGCCACAUUGGAACUGAGACACGGUCCAAACUCCUACGGGAGGCAGCAGUGGGGAAUAUUGGGCAAUGGAGGAAACUCUGACCCAGCAACGCCGCGUGAAUGAUGAAGGUCUUCGGAUUGUAAAGUUCUGUGAUGGAGGACGAACACAAUGACGGUACUCCAAGAGGAAGCCCCGGCUAACUACGUGCCAGCAGCCGCGGUAAUACGUAGGGGGCAAGCGUUGUCCGGAAUGACUGGGCGUAAAGGGAGCGUAGGCGGUUAAUUAAGUUAGAAGUGUAAUCCCAAGGCUUAACCAUGGAAUUGCUUCUAAAACUAAUUGACUAGAGUGCAGGAGAGGUAAGCGGAAUUCCUAGUGUAGCGGUGGAAUGCGUAGAUAUUAGGAGGAACACCAGAGGCGAAGGCGGCUUGCUGGACUGUAACUGACGCUGAGGCUCGAAAGCGUGGGGAGCAAACAGGAUUAGAUACCCUGGUAGUCCACGCGGUAAACGAUGGAUACUAGAUGUAGAUGGUAUUGAUUCCAUCUGUAUCGCAGUUAACACAAUAAGUAUCCCGCCUGGGGAGUACGGCCGCAAGGUUGAAACUCAAAGGAAUUGACGGGUACCCGCACAAGCAGCGGAGCAUGUGGUUUAAUUCGACGCAACGCGAAAAACCUUACCAAGACUUGACAUGCAUAUGAAGUUAGUAGAAAUAUUAACGUCUUCGGACAUAUGUGCAGGUGGUGCAUGGUUGUCGUCAGCUCGUGUCGUGAGAUGUUGGGUUAAGUCCCGCAACGAGCGCAACCCUUAUGGAUAGUUGCUAAUAUUCAGUUAAGAACUCUAUUCAGACUGCCGUGGAUAACACGGAGGAAGGUGGGGAUGACGUCAAAUCAUCAUGCCCCUUACGUCUUGGGCUACACACGUGCUACAAUGGCUACUACAAAGAGAUGCAAGAUAGCAAUAUGGAGCUAAUCUCAAAAAAGUAGUCUCAGUUCGGAUUGUGGGCUGCAACCCGCCCACAUGAAGUUGGAGUUGCUAGUAAUCCCGAAUCAGAAUGUCGGGGUGAAUGCGUUCCCGGGUAUUGCACUCACCGCCCGUCA
RNAcentral lists this ribosomal RNA (1380 nucleotides) under uncultured bacterium. RNAcentral describes it as "bacterial SSU rRNA". It matches the Rfam family "Bacterial small subunit ribosomal RNA". The record is from RNAcentral.